CAGCAGGCGCGAAACCUUUACACUGCACGACAGUGCGAUAAGGGGAUCCCCAGUGCGAGGGCAUACAGUCCUCGCUUUUCUGCACCGUAAGGUGGUGCAGGAAUAAGGGCUGGGCAAGACCGGUGCCAGCCGCCGCGGUAAUACCGGCAGCUCGAGUGAUGGCCGAUAUUAUUGGGCCUAAAGCGUCCGUAGCCGGCCGAACAGGUCCGUCGGGAAAUCCGCUCGCUCAACGAGCGGGCGUCCGGCGGAAACCAUUCGGCUUGGGGCCGGAAGACCCGAGGGGUACGUCCGGGGUAGGAGUGAAAUCCCGUAAUCCUGGACGGACCGCCGGUGGCGAAAGCGCCUCGGGAAGACGGACCCGACGGUGAGGGACGAAAGCUAGGGUCUCGAACCGGAUUAGAUACCCGGGUAGUCCUAGCUGUAAACGAUGCCCGCUAGGUGUGGCGCAGGCUACGAAGCCUUGCUGCUGUGCCGAUAGGAGCCCG
This 485-nucleotide ribosomal RNA is filed under the name uncultured archaeon. Its description in RNAcentral is "bacterial SSU rRNA". It matches the Rfam family "Archaeal small subunit ribosomal RNA", at positions 333 to 814 of the family's 1478-position model. The record is from RNAcentral.